UAAUGCUUGGGAAUCUAGCUUAUGGAGGGGGAUAACUACGGGAAACUGUAGCUAAUACCGCGUAGAAUCGAGAGAUGAAAGUGUGGGACCUUCGGGCCACAUGCCAUAGGAUGAGCCCAAGUGGGAUUAGGUAGUUGGUGAGGCAAAGGCUCACCAAGCCGACGAUCUCUAGCUGGUCUGAGAGGAUGACCAGCCACACUGGGACUGAGACACGGCCCAG
RNAcentral lists this ribosomal RNA (220 nucleotides) under uncultured bacterium. Its description in RNAcentral is "partial 16S ribosomal RNA". It matches the Rfam family "Bacterial small subunit ribosomal RNA", at positions 111 to 334 of the family's 1533-position model. The record is from RNAcentral.